GAGGGUAUAGCUCAGUGGUAGAGGGCGUGCUUUGCAGGCUCAAAGUCCUGGAUUCGAUCACCAGUACCUCCA
This 72-nucleotide transfer RNA is filed under the name Camelus bactrianus (Bactrian camel). It matches the Rfam family "tRNA". From Rfam's summary of the family: Transfer RNA (tRNA) molecules are approximately 80 nucleotides in length. Their secondary structure includes four short double-helical elements and three loops (D, anti-codon, and T loops). Further hydrogen bonds mediate the characteristic L-shaped molecular structure. tRNAs have two regions of fundamental functional importance: the anti-codon, which is responsible for specific mRNA codon recognition, and the 3' end, to which the tRNAs corresponding amino acid is attached (by aminoacyl-tRNA synthetases). tRNAs cope with the degeneracy of the genetic code in two manners: having more than one tRNA (with a specific anti-codon) for a particular amino acid; and 'wobble' base-pairing, i.e. permitting non-standard base-pairing at the 3rd anti-codon position. RNAcentral also lists the same sequence under 2 other names. Lineage: Eukaryota; Metazoa; Chordata; Mammalia; Artiodactyla; Camelidae. The record is from Rfam by way of RNAcentral.